Molecule: long non-coding RNA, 708 nt
Filed under: Rattus norvegicus (Norway rat)
Lineage: Eukaryota; Metazoa; Chordata; Mammalia; Rodentia; Muridae
Description: long non-coding RNA NONRATT018048
Source: RNAcentral
UACUGGAAAAAAAAAUCAACUUUUAAUUUAACCAAUCAAACUGCAUCCAGGAAUGUCUAAACUGAACAAAACAAAAUAAAAUUCUCCUUUUAAAGGAACCAAGAGCUUACACCAGCCCCACACUCCUAAGGUCUAUACCAAAAGUAGCCCAUUUUGGAGAUGCCUCUGUCCUUCACAUCCUCAUCCAGAGGAAGGGCUGGGGAUGGUGAGGAACCUGUACCUUCCUCCCAUCACACAGGAGUUCUUAAAAGUCACAGUGGGUGAGCUUCUCCCACCCCACUUCGUAUCCAUGCUGAGACCUCCAGAGAGAGGCAGGCAGGACAGCCCCAGGACCCUCAGGGCUUGCAGCCAAUGCUCUGCCCCAGUCCACUCAGGCAGCUGUUCCCAGCGCCAGGGUGGAGUUGAUAUGUACUGGAGGAGAAAAUCUCAAACGUCCCAUCAUGUCACAUGUUCAUGCAAGUCAGAGCAGAAGCAAUCCACCCCUAACCUAAGAACACCGGCCAGCGACAGCCUCAGAAGACACGUUCAAAUUCCGUCUGGUUGGUAGUGGCGGGAUUUCGGCUCUGGUUGGUGGACUGCUGGGUGAUCUGGCUACCCUUCCGUCGUGGUGGGGCCAGGUACUCAAACAUAGACGUCAAGUGAGUAGACAGCAUGCCCUUGAGGUCCGAGGGCAUGGGGUCCGACCAGAAGAAGUCAUGGUUGAGGGCA